AAGGUGGGGCGAAGUUGAGCCUGGAUUAGCAGGGCGGCAGGGAGGCUGCUAGAGCUGCGGGGCGGCCAGACGGGCCAGUGCGGAGAGGCAGGCGCACCAUGCCGCUGCAGGAUGUCACCCUCCGAGAGGUGUGGGCCUCGGACAGCGGACCUGAGGAGGAAGGCCGGCGGAGCCCAGAGGUCCGGCAGCGCCCCAGGCAGCGACCCGCCCGGGGACAGAAACUGAGGAAGAAGAGGAGCGAGGCCCCUGAGUCCCCCGACCCUGCGGGACCCGAGCCCCGGAGACCGGCGGUGGCCGGGCGGCCG
Molecule: long non-coding RNA, 305 nt
Organism: Manis pentadactyla (Chinese pangolin)
Lineage: Eukaryota; Metazoa; Chordata; Mammalia; Pholidota; Manidae
Exons: 3
Source: RefSeq, a predicted model, not a curated record